This is a long non-coding RNA of Sycon ciliatum, 843 nucleotides long. RefSeq lists it as uncharacterized. The transcript is spliced from 2 exons. The record is from RefSeq and is a predicted model, not a curated record. Lineage: Eukaryota; Metazoa; Porifera; Calcarea; Leucosolenida; Sycettidae.
UGGAGAGUGCAAUCGUACUUGGGACCCAUCCCAAUGUCAUCACAUGGCUGUGGUGACUAGUGUAGACCUGGGAGAGUUUUUCCUCAACUGAGACGGAGUGUAGGUGGAUGGAUUAUGAGAAAUGCGAAGAUGUGGAGUUCAAGGCUAGAUGCACUUCACAUUCGGUGUGCGAUCUCGGCGUCUGGGACCUGAAAACGUCUUGGUUGGAUGGGUAAUCAAGGAUGAUACUACUCGGCACACCAAUGUACAUGUCAAUGUAUUUUUUACUUUUUCAGAGCUGCACUAUUUACGGACGAUUGUGUCUGUGAGAGAGGAAAUAAAUUAAUAGUAUUCACAAACAAGUCCCACUUAUUGUUUCUGUGCGUAAAAGGAAAUUGCAAUUUUUUGGUCAUAUUGUUUGUUCCGGCUGUUUGUCAUUGACUGUUCUUCAGGUUUGUGUUGCUGGAGGCCGUGGCCGAGGCAGGCCCAGAAUGUCAUGGCUUGAUAAUAUUAUUUCAUGGACUGCACUUGACGUGCAGUCCCUGCUCGCUACUGCACGCGAUCGAUUUUUAUGGCGCUCGCUUGUUCAUACUUGCUCUGUGACGCCUCGACGGCCUUAGGGCUAUGGGCUUGUGAUGACGACUAUUUACGUCUUGAUGCUUACUUCGGUGCUAGCGUGUUUCCCCCGGAUUAUUUCUAUCAUCAUGCGUGUUCUUGGGCUGAGCGAGCAUAUGCACGAGUGUGCAGCUAUAACCCCGUGUAUCUUUGGUUACACUUUGUUCUGCAAUGCAUGUACCUUGUUACAGUAUGUGCUUGCACUGCUUUGUGUGGCCUGCGUAUUUCAGGACUAUUCAGUGCAUUAGA